AACGAACGCUGGCGGCAUGCCUAACACAUGCAAGUCGAACGAGACCUUCGGGUCUAGUGGCGCACGGGUGCGUAACGCGUGGGAACCUGCCCUUAGGUUCGGAAUAACUCCCCGAAAGGGGUGCUAAUACCGGAUAAUGUCUUCGGACCAAAGAUUUAUCGCCUUUGGAUGGGCCCGCGUUGGAUUAGCUAGUUGGUAGGGUAAAAGCCUGCCAAGGCGACGAUCCAUAGCUGGUCUGAGAGGAUGAUCAGCCACACUGGGACUGAGACACGGCCCAGACUCCUACGGGAGGCAGCAGUGGGGAAUAUUGGACAAUGGGCGAAAGCCUGAUCCAGCAAUGCCGCGUGAGUGAUGAAGGCCUUAGGGUUGUAAAGCUCUUCUACCCGGGAUGAUAAUGACAGUACCGGGAGAAUAAGCUCCGGCUAACUCCGU
Molecule: ribosomal RNA, 432 nt
Filed under: uncultured bacterium
Lineage: Bacteria
Description: partial 16S ribosomal RNA
Rfam family: Bacterial small subunit ribosomal RNA
Source: RNAcentral